Molecule: long non-coding RNA, 1055 nt
Filed under: Sus scrofa (pig)
Lineage: Eukaryota; Metazoa; Chordata; Mammalia; Artiodactyla; Suidae
Description: lncRNA (ENSSSCG00070009566.1)
Source: RNAcentral
GCGGAGCCCAAAGUCGCUGGAGUUUUGCUCCCGGGACGGGACGUCCGAGAGGUGAGAGGCUGACGUUGGGGUGACGCGCCAACUUAAUCACACCUGACGUCACGUCUGGUCGUCUUGGCUCACCGGUCGCGAUUGGCCAGGCUCGUUUGGGGGAUCCCCUGCUAAUUGGGUGCCCAGGUUGCCUGGUCCUGUUACCUGGAGUCGGAGCUCCGCCCCUUGGGGGGAGAGUAGUGGAGAGUCGGGAGUGUGGGGGGAAUAUUUCCUGCGCUGGUGGUCCUUGGAGAAGAGGAUCCCCACCCAAAAUAAGUGGCCAAGUCCCACCACCAUCAGCCAGAGCUGCCUGGACAGUGACACCCUACCACCCAUUGACAACCAGCUUCCUGUCUUGUGGAGUGGCAGUUGGUGGAAGCCAGCUGUUAUGAUUCAUACCAUUUAAGAAUUCUGCUUUUUGAGAAGUGACGCUAAUGGAGCCAGGCUGAAUGAUGUCUGAUUGGGAGAAUUUUCUUUGUGAAAGAGGUUUGAUUUCUAGUGCCUAUUUUUUUUUUUUUUUUUGACAGGUACAUUCCAAUUUUCUGUGUGAGCUCAGUUAGAUAGAUAAAUGUUGUUUUCAUCAAAUGUUUGUGCUGGCUAUUAUUUCUUCCCGGAAAACAAACAAGCAUGGAAACUUCCAUUAAAAAAAAGUUUCUUGCCAUUACCAGUUCUUUAAUAGUUUUACAAAUUUUCAGGCUUCUGAUAUUCUCUGAAAGGCAAAAAAAAUUCUUUGCCCGGGACAGGAUUACAUUUUGGAUUUGUUAAAAUAAUUCUCAUGUGCCUGAGACGUUAGCCUCAUAUCCCUUGAGGCAUGGUCUUUCUCUUGGGCUGCAGAAGCCAAUUUCAUCCUUGAGGUUUGUUUGUCAUUGUGUUAGCUCAGACAGACUUUUGAAUACCAUGUAAAAGCAGAAUAUUAGGAGGUCAAAGAGGCUUGCCCCCAUAGAGACAAGUUAUGGUGCUAUUCAGUCAUUAAAUACACUGAAAAGAAAAAUAAAAAAUCUAAAAUAUUUUUAGGGGAAAAGUAU